This 429-nucleotide ribosomal RNA is filed under the name uncultured bacterium. Its description in RNAcentral is "bacterial SSU rRNA". It matches the Rfam family "Bacterial small subunit ribosomal RNA", at positions 355 to 796 of the family's 1533-position model. The record is from RNAcentral.
UGGGGAAUCUUGGGCAAUGGGCGAUAGCCUGACCCAGUGAGAACACAUGCAUGACGACGGCGUCUAGUUUUCUGUAAAGUGCUUUUCGCGGUUCGACGAUAAUGACUAAAGACCGAGAAGAAGUGCCGGCCAACUCCGUGCCAGCAGCCGCGGUAAGACGGAGGGCGCGGGCGUUAUUCGUUUUGAUUGGGUGUAAAGGGUACGUAGGCGGUUCCGAUUUUUUAGGCUAAAAGAACAAAGUGAUCCUUUGUGAUGGUCUUUUACAGACAGGAACUUGUGUUGGGGAUAGGUUGGGUCAAAUUCUUCUUAAGGGGUAAUAUCCAUAGAAAUUGGGAUGAAAGUCAGCGUGCGGAGGCGCCUUUCUUGCUCCAACAGACGCUAAGGUACGGAAGCUUAGGUAGCAAACAGGAUUAGAUACCCCGGUAGUCC